This 718-nucleotide ribosomal RNA is filed under the name Phlegmacium glaucopoides. RNAcentral describes it as "eukaryotic LSU rRNA". The stretch from base 306 to 459 matches the Rfam family "5.8S ribosomal RNA". The record is from RNAcentral. Lineage: Eukaryota; Fungi; Basidiomycota; Agaricomycetes; Agaricales; Cortinariaceae.
UCUUGGUCAUUUAGAGGAAGUAAAAGUCGUAACAAGGUUUCCGUAGGUGAACCUGCGGAAGGAUCAUUAUUGAAAUAAACCUGAUGAGUUGCUGCUGGUUCUCUAGGGAGCAUGUGCACACUUGUCAUCUUUAUAUCUCCACCUGUGCACCUUUUGUAGACCUGGAUAUCCCUCUGAAUGCUAGUCACUCAGGUUUGAGGAUUGACYUUAUGUCUCUCCUUGCAUUUCCAGGCCUAUGUUUCUUUAUAUACCCAAUGUAUGUCAUAGAAUGUAAUCAAUGGGCCUUUGUGCCUAUAAACCUAUACAACUUUCAGCAACGGAUCUCUUGGCUCUCGCAUCGAUGAAGAACGCAGCGAAAUGCGAUAAGUAAUGUGAAUUGCAGAAUUCAGUGAAUCAUCGAAUCUUUGAACGCACCUUGCGCUCCUUGGUAUUCCGAGGAGCAUGCCUGUUUGAGUGUCAUUAAUAUAUCAACCUCUUCAACUUUUGUUUGUCGGGUGUUGGAUUUGGGGGUCUUUUUUGCUGGUCUUGUAUCCUACAGGUCAGCUCCCCUGAAAUACAUUAGCAGAACAAUUUGUGAACCGUUCAUUGGUGUGAUAACUAUCUACGCUAUUGACGUGAAACAGGUUCAGCUUCUAACAGUCCAUUGACUUGGACAACUUUUCAUUAAUGUGACCUCAAAUCAGGUAGGACUACCCGCUGAACUUAAGCAUAUCAAUAA